Neltuma alba is the source of this 682-nucleotide RNA transcript. RefSeq lists it as uncharacterized. Lineage: Eukaryota; Viridiplantae; Streptophyta; Magnoliopsida; Fabales; Fabaceae. The record is from RefSeq and is a predicted model, not a curated record. The transcript is spliced from 2 exons.
UUGAAGCGUUGAAAAAUCACAAGGCAAAGCGAAAUUACUCGCUUAAAAUCGAAGGAACAAUGAUGUUCCUUUCUCUUUAACACCGAAGAAACACUGAUGUCGAUUGAGGAAGGUACAACAGGAGCGGCAUCACCAAUAUCAGACGAUUGCGUCCAAACCUACACCGCUUCUGACUGUACGCUUUCUCACCUAAACUUCGAUCCAAAGACACUCCCUUCAGAUCUCUCGCCCCCUACUUCACAUUUUAUUCUCCUUUGCUUCCUUCACACUCUCUGUUUGUCAACCGUUCUCAGGUAAAGUUGGCGUUUCUAGUUUUGAUCUGAGCUACUAUAGCAGAUUGACUAUCUAGAAGCUUAGGAGAAGCUGCUUCUGUUGGUUUAGGAAACCAGUACAUAUCUGCCUGUCUUGUGUGAGCGUGAAGACGACUAUAUCUACUAAUUGUUUGUUUAUUCUGUUGUGAUUGGACAACUUUGAUUAUGAAGAAAGGUCCCCUGCCUGAACUGUGGUUCAGGUGCUAGCUGUUUUAUGCACCUAAGUGAACUUGUAUUGUUUAAUCUGGUACCAAGUGGUGAAUCAAUUGGUCAUCAGUUGGCUUGAUUCGUCUAGAGCACAUAAAUGGCUCACUAUACAGAUCGAAAUGGUGCAAGGGAGCUUGGAUUCAAAAAAGUUUGACCUGAGGGAU